This 345-nucleotide long non-coding RNA is filed under the name Capsella grandiflora. RNAcentral describes it as "long non-coding RNA (CGRA_LNC000362)". The record is from RNAcentral. Lineage: Eukaryota; Viridiplantae; Streptophyta; Magnoliopsida; Brassicales; Brassicaceae.
CCCGGUCGAACCGACCUAUCCGAGAUCCGAAAUAUGCUCUCCACCCUAAUCGAUAGGACGCAGGGCCAGGACCGAGCAAAUCGAGCCCUAGCAGAAAGAGUCGAAAGACAAGAGCAGGAACUCGCACUGUGUAGUUCCUACCUCCGCAGUUCGACUCCCUCUACGAGUGUCCGGCCCCCCUUUACGUCGACGCUACCGCCAUCAUGUAUGAGCCCUCCCCCCAGGACUCACCUAGAUUUCUCCACCAUACACGUCACCCCAGCGGGAGCUCGACUUCCGUCGAUAAUCCAUAACGAAACCCCGUUAGCCGAGGUGCCACCCCCACCUCCGCCAAUUCGAGGCCNN